RNAcentral lists this long non-coding RNA (1617 nucleotides) under Homo sapiens (human). RNAcentral's name for it is "HSALNT0310927". Lineage: Eukaryota; Metazoa; Chordata; Mammalia; Primates; Hominidae. The record is from RNAcentral.
UCGCCAGGCUUGACUAGCCACCUCUGGGAUCGACUGAGGGAAAGGCAGACUUGAAUUACUCAGAGAAUAAGCCAGUGGUUCUGUUUUAAUGCUCUGAGUCAGCAGCCUUUUAUAGCUCAAAUCAAGGUCAACAAGAUAUGUAGAGCACCUUCUCUGAGCACUAGCUGGAACACGGCGGCUCUUCUUUCUUCCACUCUGAGACAAGAACACAUGCGCUUUUCCUGUAAGUGUUGUCUCCCCAGUUAUUCUGGAGACCAUCCAGAAGAGAAUGAGAAUAAAGAAACCAACAGAAGAAAGAUAAAGAAGGAAGAAUAAAAGAUACCAAAAUGACAGUUAUCGCUUGCUUCGGAGCAGGAAGGAGAAUCCAGUCAUGGAAUAUUAUGGUGGUAAUUGCUUCCAACUGGAACCAGUUAUCAAAAUGUGGCAGGAAAAUCUGGCCUGGUGAAGAAAGAGAAGGUGGCGAAGCUGACUCAGUUCAAGUUCAAGAUCUGCUAUUAAUGUGCUGUCACUGAACACAAAUCAUUACAUUUCCCUGAGCUUCAGUUUUGUUUUUCAAAUUGGAAUAAUUGGAUAAUUAGAUCUCUAAAGCAUACAUCAUCAGUAGAAAAUGAGCAACUUCUCAUUUGGCCUAACACUUUGAGUGGGAAAAUAAACUCAUUUAUGUAUAGUGAUAUUCUACUACUCCCUUAUAGAGUAAACAGUUACGUAAAUGCAAGUCAUUUUGAUUUUUCACAGAAUAGGAUCCCUUUAAAAUAGAUCUAUAUCAAGUCUCAUCCACAAUUAUUUUCUCACAGCUCUGUAUUAUUUGACUGACACACUUUGAAAACAUAGUUUCCAGAGAUCUCACAUAUUUAUUUUAUAUUUAUCUCUUUAACAAGCUAGAAUUUAUACUGAUAUAUGAGAUAAGGCUAUUAGCAAAUUUAAUUUAAUUUUUCUACAGUUUUCAACCAGUUGUUCCCGUGCUAAAUAGUCCAUCCUUCUCCCAUUGAUUUAUUGUAUCAACUUAAUAAAUUUUUAUUUUAUUUUUGUUUCAUAAUAUGUAUACAUUGUGGAAUGGCUAAACAAAGCUAAUUAAUAUAUGCAUUGCCUCACAUAUUUAUCAUUUUGUGGUGAGAACAUUUCAAAUCUACUCUUCCAGCAAUUUUCAAGUAUAUAAUAAAUUGUUAUUAACAAUAAUCAUCAUGUUGUACAAUAGAUAACUAGAACUUAUUUCUCUUGUCAAUAAAAUUUUGCGUUCUUUGACCACCGCCUUUCUAAUUCCUGUCCACCCUCCUUCAGCCUUUUGCGACCAUCAUUCUACUCUCUGCUCUUAUGCUUUUUCUGAUUCCACAUAUAAGUGAGAUCAUGCAGUAUUUGUUUUUCUGUGCCUGGCUUAUUUCACUUAAUGUAUUGUCCUCCAGGUUCAUCCAUGUUGCAAAUUACAAGAUUCCUUUCUUUUUUAAGGCUGAAUAGUAUUCCACUGUGUAUAUACACUGCAUUUUCUUUAUCCAUUCAUCCAUUGAUGAACAUUUAGGUUGAUUCUGUAUCUUGGCUAUUGGGAAUAAUGCUGCAACGAACAUGAGCAGUUAUCUCUUUCACAUACUGAUUUUAUUUCCUUUAGAUAUAUACUCAGCAGCG